UCCUGGAUUCAAGCAAUCCUCCUGCCUCAGCUUCCCAAAGUGCAGGGAUUACAGGUAUGAGCCACCACACUUAGCACAGAAAGCACUCUGGAGUGUGUUCUCUCUCUCUCUUCUCUCUCUCUUUUCUCUUCUGUCUUCUCUUCUCUCUCUAUCCCCUGUGGGGGUCACAGGAAGAAGACAGCAAGCCAGGAAGAGAGCCGUCACCGGGAGCUGACCAUGCUGACACCACGAUCUUGGACUUUCCAGCCUCCAGAAGGAUAAGAAAAUAUAUCUCUAUUGUAGGCUUCUCUUGAUUGCCAACAAGGGAAGAUGAAGAUAUUUGUUUCUCUAACCUUGGCUUUAUAACCUCCACCUUCCAGCUCCCAACUUAAGUUAUCUGCACUAUUACUUUUAUACUGUCAGAAUUGAUAGUAUUUAUAAUCUGCUUGCAAUCAAAACAAACUGGUUUUUUGUUGUUGU
Molecule: long non-coding RNA, 459 nt
Organism: Nomascus leucogenys (northern white-cheeked gibbon)
Lineage: Eukaryota; Metazoa; Chordata; Mammalia; Primates; Hylobatidae
Exons: 2
Source: RefSeq, a predicted model, not a curated record